AUAUAUAUAUCUCAGUGGAAUUAAGAUACUGACAUACUACAUGAUUUGUAGCUACUGUCUUUUCUUGUCUUGCCUAUCUUGCUGAGCUGCCCCAAACUUUUUGCAGAGUGAAGGCUGCUUGCUUGAGGUGUCCUGUCCUGCCAGCAACACAAAUCCCUCAUCAUCCUGUCACCCUCCAUCAACUGGUACACUACUAAAGCAUGCCCAGUAAUUCACCCACCCUUGUGUGAUCAUCUACACCAACUUCACAUUGGCGGCUUUCUUUCAGUGUAUUCAGGGAGAGAUAAACAGAUAUAAAUAAAUAAUACAAGAAAGAUGGGAGAAAAAACAAGAGGAGAGAGAGAAGAGAUGAUGAGAAGAAAGGAAGAAACACUAGAUGAGACAAAGCAAGACAUGACACAUGAUGAGAGUAAGACAAGAAAAUAGACAGGUGACAAAACACGGGAGGAUGAGAAGAAAGGAAGAGGCAAGACAAGAGAGAGAGA
This is a long non-coding RNA of Scylla paramamosain (green mud crab), 485 nucleotides long. RefSeq lists it as uncharacterized. The transcript has 2 exons. Lineage: Eukaryota; Metazoa; Arthropoda; Malacostraca; Decapoda; Portunidae. The record is from RefSeq and is a predicted model, not a curated record.